RNAcentral lists this transfer RNA (63 nucleotides) under Euwallacea interjectus. RNAcentral's name for it is "tRNA-Asn". Lineage: Eukaryota; Metazoa; Arthropoda; Insecta; Coleoptera; Curculionidae. The record is from RNAcentral.
UUAAUUGAAACCAAAAAGCGGUCUAUCACUGUUAAUGAUAAAAAUGGAUAAUUCCCAAUUAAA